AGAGUUUGAUCCUGGCUCAGGACGAACGCUGGCGGCGUGCCUAAAACAUGCAAGUCGAACGAGGUCCAUCCAGUGGCAACACUGGGGAAGACCUAGUGGCGAACGGGUGAGUAACACGUGAGGAACCUGCCCCGAAGACCGGGAUAACCCUCCGAAAGGAGAGCUAAUACCGGAUGUCCCCACCGGAUCGCAUGGACCGGUGAGGAAAUGGAUUCCGCUUCGGGAGGGUCUCGCGGCCUAUCAGCCUGUUGGUGGGGUAACGGCCUACCAAGGCAUCGACGGGUAGCUGGUCUGAGAGGACGAUCAGCCACACUGGGACUGAGACACGGCCCAGACUCCUACGGGAGGCAGCAGUUAGGAAUCUUGCGCAAUGGGCGAAAGCCUGACGCAGCAACGCCGCGUGGGGGACGAAGGCUCUCGGGUUGUAAACCCCUUUCAGUAGGGACGAAUCAAGACGGUACCUACAGAAGAAGCCCCGGCCAACUACGUGCCAGCAGCCGCGGUAACACGUAGGGGGCAAGCGUUGUCCGGAUUUAUUGGGCGUAAAGAGCUCGUAGGCGGUUCGGUAAGUCAGGUGUGAAACCUCCAGGCUCAACCUGGAGACGCCACCUGAUACUGCUGUGACUCGAGUCCGGUAGGGGAGCGUGGAAUUCCUGGUGUAGCGGUGAAAUGCGCAGAUAUCAGGAGGAACACCAGCGGCGAAGGCGGCGCUCUGGGCCGGAACUGACGCUGAGGAGCGAAAGCGUGGGUAGCAAACAGGAUUAGAUACCCUGGUAGUCCACGCCGUAAACGUUGGGCACUAGGUGUGGGGUCUUAUCAACGGAUUCCGUGCCGUAGCUAACGCAUUAAGUGCCCCGCCUGGGGAGUACGGCCGCAAGGCUAAAACUCAAGGAAUUGACGGGGGCCCGCACAAGCGGCGGAGCAUGUUGCUUAAUUCGAGGCGACGCGAAGAACCUUACCUGGG
This 964-nucleotide ribosomal RNA is filed under the name uncultured bacterium. Its description in RNAcentral is "bacterial SSU rRNA". It matches the Rfam family "Bacterial small subunit ribosomal RNA", at positions 8 to 979 of the family's 1533-position model. The record is from RNAcentral.